RNAcentral lists this transfer RNA (73 nucleotides) under Methylococcaceae bacterium. RNAcentral describes it as "tRNA-Lys". It matches the Rfam family "tRNA". From Rfam's summary of the family: Transfer RNA (tRNA) molecules are approximately 80 nucleotides in length. RNAcentral also lists the same sequence under 3 other names. Lineage: Bacteria; Pseudomonadati; Pseudomonadota; Gammaproteobacteria; Methylococcales; Methylococcaceae. The record is from RNAcentral.
CGGCUCGUAGCUCAGUUGGUAGAGCAGCUGACUCUUAAUCAGCGGGCCCAGGGUUCGAAUCCCUGCGAGCCGA